UCCGUAGGUGAACCUGCGGAGGGAUCAUUAUAAGUUCACCCAGGCUUGUACAGCUGGGGACUGACAACCCUUUGAUUUCCGACUCUGUUGCCUCCGGGGCGACCCUGCCUUCGGGCGGGGGCUCCGGGUGGACACUUCAAACUCUUGCGUAACUUUGCAGUCUGAGUAAACUUAAUUAAUAAAUUAAAACUUUUAACAACGGAUCUCUUGGUUCUGGCAUCGAUGAUGAACGCAGCGAAAUGCGAUAAGUAAUGUGAAUUGCAGAAUUCAGUGAAUCAUCGAAUCUUUGAACGCACAUUGCGCCCCCUGGUAUUCCGGGGGGCAUGCCUGUUCGAGCGUCAUUUCACCACUCAAGCCUCGCUUGGUAUUGGGCAACGCGGUCCGCCGCGUGCCUCAAAUCGUCCGGCUGGGUCUUCUGUCCCCUAGCGUUGUGGAAACUAUUCGCUAAAGGGUGUUCGGGAGUCUACGCCGUAAAACAACCCCAUUUCUAAGGUUGACCUCGGAUCAGGUAGGGAUACCCGCUGAACUUAAGCAUAUCAAUAAGCGGAGGA
This 551-nucleotide small RNA is filed under the name uncultured Cladosporium. RNAcentral describes it as "eukaryotic LSU rRNA". The stretch from base 188 to 341 matches the Rfam family "5.8S ribosomal RNA". The record is from RNAcentral. Lineage: Eukaryota; Fungi; Ascomycota; Dothideomycetes; Cladosporiales; Cladosporiaceae.